ACACAUGAACAUCGACAUUUUGAACGCAUAUUGCGGUCCAUACUGACUAGUUUCUUAAUUGAAGCUGUAUGGACCACACAUGGUUGAGGGUCGUUAGUUUACGCUAACUAAAUUGCUUUUAUUUUUAAUCGAAUAAAAGUUACAUAUUGAGGUGUUGGCAAUCUUAAGUGUAUUGGCAUCCCUUGAAAAAUACUCCUUAAUUGGUGUACACAAUUUAAAUUAUUGUGGAUGCUUGUUUUAAUUCAAAGGAAACAAAUACUCAAUUUUUAUAUAUAUAAAGUUGUUGAAGCUAGUAAACUUUGAUUAAACGUAUUUAUUUACGUAUUUGAAUGCUUAACCUGAACACUUCAACAAUUCAAUUCAUAUUAACCAUUGUAUAUAAAAAUGUAAUUCGUUAAAGUAUUUAAUUCGUUAAUUUCCAAUGAAUGUGAAUAAACAAUCCCAUUUAUUUUUGAACGCGGGUGGCAUUCAUUCCAAAUAUACAAUAAUUUAGAUUUGAUAUUUAUAUAACCAAAAGCGACCUCAACUCAUGUGAGACUACCCCCUG
RNAcentral lists this ribosomal RNA (547 nucleotides) under Saigusaia flaviventris. RNAcentral describes it as "eukaryotic LSU rRNA". Lineage: Eukaryota; Metazoa; Arthropoda; Insecta; Diptera; Mycetophilidae. The record is from RNAcentral.